Molecule: long non-coding RNA, 5879 nt
Organism: Dunckerocampus dactyliophorus (ringed pipefish)
Lineage: Eukaryota; Metazoa; Chordata; Actinopteri; Syngnathiformes; Syngnathidae
Exons: 3
Source: RefSeq, a predicted model, not a curated record
CAAACUUAAAAAGACAUAUUACAGUGCAGCUUCCAUCUUUAUCACGGUAAAAAUUGACGGUUCUUUACAAAUUUAGAGUGCUAAAUCUUGUCUUACAAUUGUAACUUUGCAAUAGAGCUUCUGGUGGGUUGAGGCAAGAGUCUACUACAGUGGUAAGUGACAAACAGCCUCUAACUUCACUGCAUUACUGUGAGUAACUGAUAAAAGACAGACUGCUAAUGCGAGGCAGCUACACAUCCCCAUCAGCACUUUCACAAGCUUCUGUGCAAAUUAAGUUCUUCUCUCUAAUGAAUGCCUCCGUCAAAUAAACGCCACGUAUCCUCUGCAGUUGAGUACAUAAACAUGCCAUAUGCAUGCAUGGACAUAUGCUAGUUACUGUCAUUGAUUUAUCUCCACAAUAAAUUCUAAGGCAGAACAAGGUAAUCUAUAGCAGGGAAGAUGUUGCAGUAGGUCUUGUUCAAAACAAGCAUAUUUAAUGCAAAUUCAGUUUCUACCCUGCACUGUGCAUCCCUCAGUGCCUCUGUGCCAUGCACACCGCACACAAUUUACUGCAGGGCUGUCAAGGCCACACCCCUUGCAUGCACGGCGUAUCUCUCCAGAACAUGAACUGCUCCCUUCUUACAAUUCUGAGUAAUGAGGACACGCUACUGCAUUUAAACACACAGACUACCAGUCAAGUAAGCUUUUAUGAUAACAAAGGGGUAAGGAUUGCCUGGCAACAAAUAAAUCAAACCAUAAAACAUACCAAAAAUAAAAACAAAUGAAGAUUUAGUGGAGGAUGUUGAUGAAAUGCAAGAGGAAGCCUGCUUUAGUACCAUUUGCAAAUCUAACAAAAUAUACCAAAAAAAUAUUUAUUUCAUUCCUAUGGAAAGUGUCUAUCUUUGAAUAAUAUCCAAAUGACAGAUAUUAUUUAGGGUACCCAACAGAGUACGCAACAACAAUGAGUUUUUUUUUUUUUUUUUACCAAAGUCUUGUCAAAAUCAAUCAUGGUUUUUCUAAAAUAUAUUCAUUGAUAAAUUAUCCUGUUUUGUGGUUGAAUACGGCCAAUUAUUAAUAACAAAAAAUCCAUAUUUUCUCACACUUUGAUCCCUGUGGCAGUGACAUGGCUACUACGUGGUCGCAUUCUGGUCUUGUAACAUCGUGUGCUUCGGCGGAGUCAUAUUUGCGCUUUGUGCGCAUGCCCUCAUCAUGGAGAACUCAUGGAGAGGUGCAUGUGAUGCGGCUUUGAGGUUGAAGGCAAUCGAUAUAGCAGCUUUUGCUGCCGGUGGAUCUUGGCAGUGUGGAGCGGUGUCGUGAGGCUCACUGUUGCUGCAGGCGGGUUUCGGGGGGCUGGAGUGAUGCAUGCUAGGGAAGACAGCACAGGCUCGGGGGCUGGCGCUUGGCGCGGAAACAAAAAAUUGAGAUACUGGCUGGGUGUGUGGUGAGGGAAUUGUGGAGCUGUUUGGUUCCGAAAGUAAAGAAGACAACUUUGGUGGUUUUAGUUCCCAGGAGGAGGACGAGGACAGCGAUGAAUUAAUUUGCUGGUACGCUACCGUUUACCUAGCCAUGUUACACACACUAUUUGGCACUGCUGGUAAAAAAAAGCUUAUAUUUAAUUCAAAGUUUAAAAAAUAUUUCUGGGUAACAUCUUUCUGUGUUCUAAAUAUCCCAUGUUACGAUGUGGACACCUGCGUCUUGGCUAUGUACAAAUCUUUUGUUGUCUUUAAAUUUAGUGGGUGCGGCUUAUAUACUGGUGUGCUCUAUAGUACAGAAAUUACGGUAAGGACUUUCAAGCAUAAAAAUGUCUAAAUUAACUAAAAUACAAAUCUAAUGCAUCCAGAAGAUGCAUUCAAAGAUGUUGUGAAUGAUGUAGUAUUCUAAACUGGUCACUGUACUGGUCACUGGACAAAAACACCACACUUGUUCGCCGGAACAACAGGCUUUUAUUGCAGGUUUGAAUUAUCUCACAACAGGCACAAUAAUCCCAAAUAAAAAUCCCUAAUAAAACCACAGGCUACAGUGAAGCCGUAGCCCAUGCCAUGCUAAAACUCAACUCUGUACCCCUGACUUCACAUCCUGUACGGCCACCACUCAGCCACAUUUAUAGCAACACACACAAGCAUGAGUCUUAUUUAUGUUUUAUUUACUCUUAUUAUGUUCACUAUAUUGGGCAAUAGGAGUGUAAAGCUGUCUAUAGGGGUGUUAGUUCAUGUCUAGGAGGCUCUAAAAAUGUUAAAAACCGUAUUUAGAAAGAAAUUCACUUAUUUAUUAACCACGAUAAACAAGGGAUUGAUGUAUUUUGCCAUAAUUUUAGGAAAUUGUAUAUAAGAUAUACAACAGAGUUGGGUGGUACUCACUGAUCUAAAAAAAAAGACUGGAUCGAGCAACCUAUUGUUUUCACGCGCCAAAAUUUGAAGCCAGAUUUUUUUCGAUCGCCGCCAUCUUGGUGAGACCACCUUACGCGCCACAGCUUUGUGAUUGUGCUGGUAUACGAACGCAGAAUUAGUGAAAAAUCAUCAAAAACAUCAGGAGUGCCAGUGAAGGAAGCGAGGAUGAGGAAACACAACUUAAAAAGCACUUCCCAAGAACCUUCCACUCGUAAGUACUUUUACUUGGCACCUUUUUUUGACCUGAUAUAUGUGCCACUACUUGAACGGCUUUGCUUUGAAAAGUUCUCGAAAUGUAACCAAAAGUUAAAGUAUGAACUUUGAUGGGUGGUUUUGCAAGAAUUUUCUAGUUACACAUUCCUGUAACAACUAGGCCUUUUUUUGGUGCCUAGCCUAGCAAUCAAUGAUAAAAUUAUUUCUAUGCAGUUUUUUACAGUAGGCUUUGAGUAUUUGCACUUAUCUAAUGUCUUUUUGUACCAAAAAACAGCUUUUUUAAAAGCUACCACAACUACCAAGUUACAUUAAUUCUGAUACCACACAUGAUUCACGCAAAGGUAGAAGACAUGUGACAAAAUUUCUGCUUUCUUCCUGCCUUAACCUUAUCCUGAGAUAAAAAAAAAUAAUGGUUUACCGUAGGAAAAUAAUUAGACAAAGAUAGACUUUAAAUUCCGUACAAAAAACAAUGUUUGCAGGCUGCCACACAGCCAAUUUUUCGUUCGUCUCGAAGCUAAAAUACAUCUUACUAGCUUGAUAAAUGACACAAAAGCGUAUAAAUCUGAGUAGUUAUAACCUUUAGCAGUUGAUUUUGGUGGCUAUACGAUCAAUCGAAGUUUUACCAGUGUGUUGCCAUACUGUUGUCUCACAGCAAAGUGGUCUCACCAAGAUGGCCGCCGCAAAUUUCCAUUGGCUUCAAAAAUAAAACAAUAGAAGCUCGAUCCAGUCUUUUUUUUUAGAUCAGUGGGUGGUACUAUUUUAAGAUUGAAUUAAAUGACAUUGAAUUAAGAUAAAAAGAAAUGCUAUUUCGUAUAAACCCCCCAGCUUCCCCAAUGACUUUUUUACAUAAUCUUACUAAAGUCUUGUGAGAACAUAUUCCAUCUGUUCACCACCAACAAACUCUCUGUCACAUCUUGAUUCAUGAUGACAGCAUCCACAGAGCACAAUGAGUGGCUUAAUUAAAUCCAUCAACACAAUGCAGCAUUCAUUAUAUGUCCACAUAUUUCACAUAUCACUGACUCAGAUUACAUGAAUCAUUACACCUUUCUAUUUGUCCAAGUAGGCUUGUCUUUAGGAGGGAACCAGAUGUAUUGCGAAGAAUGCCACUGUGUCUCCUGCCUCUAGACACAAUAAAAUCAUAAUAAUUUGUUCAGAAAUAGUCAAUUCAUUUUCUUCCUGUCUUUCUUCCUCUCAUCUUUUUCCUGGUUUCUCUCGGAUUAUUUUGCCUCCGGGGGAAUCAUGAAAUGAACUGCAUGUUGUAAUUGUAAAUGUGCUCUGGCACAAGUCAGCGUGUCUCCAGGAAAGUGAGGGAUCUCUGAGGGGUUAACCUGAUUUCAAUAAACAUAUGCAUACAAACAUAUCCCUUUAGGAGCCCUGCGCGGUGGUGCCCUGUGUAAUCAAAGAAACCAGGCUGCUGCUGUCAUUUCUCUUGUUCAACUGCUUUAAGACAUUCACUCAACUGAGCCUAAAAGAAAAUAACAAUAAAAAGCUUUAUUUAUUGUGCUCCAUUCAUGCAUUUUUACAGUGGGAUAUGCUUUCAAGCUCUCUGUAUGUGACUUUCACUACGUUCCUGCAUGUUCCUAUUCAAUUAGACGCAGGGAUGCUCUGCACUGACCCAAAUGUAAGACAACCCUGAAUAUAAAACCACCACCCAACACCUUCUGCUUGACAGUUUUUUGAUGACUCUGUUUUUAAAAUUAGCAUCAUAACUCCUCCUCUGUUCUUUGUUAACUUGCUAACAACCUGUCAGACACUUUUUUCCAAGCAGGAAGAAAAGCUACAACUCGCUUGUGGAGAAGUCCUUUCACGUUGGAUACAGUGGAAUCUCAUUGUCCCCCAGCUUCGUCACCCGUCUGUGACAUCAUCAGCGGUUGACUCUGUAGUUCUCUGCUAACUGACACGGUUACGCCACAAGUCUUUGCUUUACUUAUUGAUCAAACAAAGCUGCAAUUGCCAGCAUUUUGAUAAAAAAUGAGAAAAACACGAUUGAAUUCAAGAAAUAACUCAUAGCGCAACACGAAGGUGGUGUCCGUGUGGAUCAAGUCUUCAUGCAAGGAGGCUCUUGAUUCAUAAACCCGAGAGAUCUGAGGAGCUUCUCAAGGCAAAGACAAUGCAGCCAGCAUGUUGAUACAGCACACUGCUGAAGAUUAAGACGGGAUGAGCUGCUUCAAACAGUGAAUGUGUCUCUUCUUAAACCGUGCUCAGACUCCUUCGUCACUCGUACUACUAAUUCUGCACCUCCGAACCACAAAAUGAGCCAGUUGAGGUGGCUCGGGCAUCUAUUUCGGCGACUCCCUGGGGAGGUGUUCAAGGCCUCGGGACAGACCUAGGACAUGCUGGAGGGACUAUGUCUCACAGCUGGUCUGGGAACACCUGUGUGCUCUAUGGACCUGGAGAAGGUGGAGAGAGACAGGGAAGGACAUCCCUGCUGCUACCACCUUGACCCAGAUAAGCAGAAGAGAAGAAAUGGAUGGACAUCUAAAAAUCAAUCAGGGGAUGGAACAAAAAGAAAAAUGUUGUUGUUUUGGGAAGACCAUUUUCUGUUCCAGCUUGGCUUGGAGGACUUUGGUGGGGAAGACCUUGAGAUGAACUACCUCAGUGACCUCACAGAUGUUUUUCAGAAUGAUUAAUGGAUAAAUAUUUCCACAGACACACUUCAGUAUCUUGCAGAACAUCUUUCCAGGGGAGUGGAAUCUGUUACAACUGCAAAAGGGGGUGACAACCUCCAUUUAUUCAUUCCCAUUCUGACUUACUGGUGUCAUGAUACAAUAGCCAGGACUCCCAAUGCUAUUGUCUAUAAGUGUAUAAUGCUUGUAAGUAGUUUGUCUGCAUUAUUUAAUUUAAAGAUAGCUUGAACUCCGCACCAGCUUUAUCGACCUUUGCAUGCGAUUUACAAUGUAAAAUUAAAACAUUUAAAAUGUUGGUGCGCUAAUCAGCUGUUGGACCUCACCAGGGCUAUUAUUCAAGAUUCAAAAGUCUUUCAAAGACACACAGAACAUCAAAAUUACGUUUUAAAAUUAUGUAUUAAUGCGGGCUGAGCAGUUUGCUUCUUCCAUUACAACAUUGGUUCUGUUGCUGCUCUGUUGUGCAAUAUACUUGCUAAUAAAUGAGCAUUUGGUCAACGAUCGCUAUGUUUUGCUUUCCAAUUUCAUGCCAAAGCAUGGCGAAUCACUAUUAAAGAAACAUUGGAUUCAGUGAUGUGUGAUGUGUGUGCCUCCCAGGUAUGUUCUUUAUGCGAUUGUGUAGCUGAAUAACUUGCCUUUCCAGAUUAAAUGUCUUUUCUUGAUCUUGAAUUUUGUG